This 234-nucleotide ribosomal RNA is filed under the name Triticum aestivum (bread wheat). Its description in RNAcentral is "partial small subunit ribosomal RNA". Lineage: Eukaryota; Viridiplantae; Streptophyta; Magnoliopsida; Poales; Poaceae. The record is from RNAcentral.
AUGGGACACCCAACAUGGGACAUGAUCGGCGGCGGCGAGUUGAUGGCUGAUUUCUUUGUUAUCCUUUGUUGUGGUCAGUGGUUUCGCAUCCUUCUCGAUCCCUUGCCACAAGGCAAUAAAUCACAAAAGAGCAGACACCACCCUGUGCUCCGCCUUCCAUGCACAUGUAUUCUUCUCUGGACUCCGAACCAAAAGCUUCUUCAGUUGAUUGCGCAUCGAGGGCACCAUUAUUGA